CGAGUUGGCCGGGCGGCCGCGGGCCACGGGGAGACCCGGGGUUCGAGGAAAGUCCGGACUUCACAGAGCAGGGUGAUUGCUAACGGCAAUCCGGGGCAACCCGCGGGAAAGUGCCACAGAAAACAGACCGCCGCCCGCAAGGGCGGUAAGGGUGAAACGGUGCGGUAAGAGCGCACCAGCAUCCCGGGUGACCGGGAUGGCUAGGCAAACCCCACCCGAAGCAAGGCCAAGAAGGCCGCAACCUGGUUGCGGUCGCGCGAGCGUUCGAGGGCUGCUCGCCCGAGCUUGCGGGUAGGCCGCUUGAGGCACCCGGCGACGGUGUGUCCAGAUGGAUGGUCGCCUAUCGGUCCUCCGUCAGGAGGGUCGGUACAGAAUCCGGCUUACAGGCCAGCUCGUCCG
This 399-nucleotide RNase P RNA is filed under the name Mycolicibacterium neoaurum. RNAcentral's name for it is "RNase P RNA component class A". It matches the Rfam family "Bacterial RNase P class A". Rfam says of the family: Ribonuclease P (RNase P) is a ubiquitous endoribonuclease, found in archaea, bacteria and eukarya as well as chloroplasts and mitochondria. Its best characterised activity is the generation of mature 5'-ends of tRNAs by cleaving the 5'-leader elements of precursor-tRNAs. Cellular RNase Ps are ribonucleoproteins. The record is from RNAcentral. Lineage: Bacteria; Bacillati; Actinomycetota; Actinomycetes; Mycobacteriales; Mycobacteriaceae.